Molecule: ribosomal RNA, 430 nt
Filed under: uncultured bacterium
Lineage: Bacteria
Description: bacterial SSU rRNA
Rfam family: Bacterial small subunit ribosomal RNA
Source: RNAcentral
UGGGGAAUAUUGCGCAAUGGACGAAAGUCUGACGCAGCGACGCCGCGUGAAGGAAGAAGGUUUUCGGAUUGUAAACUUCUGUUAAGUGGGAAGAAAUACUUCUGGUUAAUACCCAGAGGGGCUGACGGUACCACUAGAGAAAGCACCGGCAAACUUCGUGCCAGCAGCCGCGGUAAUACGAAGGGUGCAAGCGUUAUUCGGAGUGACUGGGCGUAAAGAGCGCGUAGGCGGUUUUGUAAGUCAUUUGUUAAAUUCCACAGCUUAACUGUGGGUGAGCGAGUGAAACUGCAAUGACUAGAGGUUAAGAGAGAGAAGUGGAAUUCUCGGAGUAGCGGUAAAAUGCGUAGAUCUCGAGAGGAACACCGGUAGCGAAGGCGGCUUCUUGGCUUAAACCUGACGCUGAGGCGCGAAAGCGUGGGGAGCAAACAGG